Molecule: ribosomal RNA, 823 nt
Filed under: Dirofilaria repens
Lineage: Eukaryota; Metazoa; Nematoda; Chromadorea; Rhabditida; Onchocercidae
Description: SSU rRNA
Rfam family: Eukaryotic small subunit ribosomal RNA
Source: RNAcentral
CGGCUCAUUAUAACAGCUAUAAUGUACUUGAUGUUGAUUAUCCAACGUGGAUAACUGUGGCAAUUCUAGAGCUAAUACAUGCACCAAAGCUCCGACUUUUGAACGAGCGCAUCUAUUAGAUUAAAACCAAUCGGGUUAUUAGCCCGUUAAUUGGUGACUCUGAAUAGCUAUGGCUGAUCGCAUGGUCUUGUACCGGCGACGUAUCUAUCAAGUGUCUGCCUUAUCAACUUUCGAUGGUAGUUUAUGUGCCUACCAUGGUUGUAACGGGUAACGGAGAAUAAGGGUUCGACUCCGGAGAGGGAGCCUGAGAAACGGCUACCACAUCCAAGGAAGGCAGCAGGCGCGCAAAUUACCCACUCUCAGAAUGAGGAGGUAGUGACGAAAAAUAACGAGACCGUUCUCUUUGAGGCCGGUUAUCGGAAUGGGUACAAUUUAAACCUGUUAACGAGGAUCUAUGAGAGGGCAAGUCUGGUGCCAGCAGCCGCGGUAAUUCCAGCUCUCAAAGUGUAUAUCGUCAUUGCUGCGGUUAAAAAGCUCGUAGUUGGAUCUGCGUCUCAGGACCUGGUCCAUCCAUUGGAUGAGAACUGGGCUCCUAGGCUAAUAUUGCCAGUUUUCCAUACGUUACCUUGAUUGGUUGCGUAUGGUGGCUAGCAAGUUUACCUUGAAAAAAUUAGAGUGCUCAAUGCGGGCUAAUGCCUGAAUACUCGUGCAUGGAAUAAUGAAAUAGGAUCUCGGUUCUAUUUUGUUGGUUUUCUGAUCUGAGAUAAUGGUUAAGAGGGACGGACGGGGGCAUUCGUAUCGCUGCGUGAGAGGUGAAAUUCUU